CCUACGGGGGGCAGCAGUGAGGAAUAUUGGUCAAUGGACGAGAGUCUGAACCAGCCAAGUAGCGUGAAGGAUGACUGCCCUAUGGGUUGUAAACUUCUUUUAUAAGGGAAUAAAACGAGGCACGUGUGCCUUUUUGCAUGUACUUUAUGAAUAAGGAUCGGCUAACUCCGUGCCAGCAGCCGCGGUAAUACGGAGGGUACGGGCGUUAUCCGGAUUUAUUGGGUUUAAAGGGAGCGUAGAUGGAUUGUUAAGGCAGUUGUGAAAGUUUGCGGCUUAACCGUAAAAUUGCAAUUAAAACUGGCAGUCUUGAGUACAGGUGAGGUAGGCGGAAUUCGUGGUGUAGCGGUGAAAUGCUUAGAUAUCACGAAGAACCCCGAUUGCGAAGGCAGCUUACUAGACUGUGACUGACAUUGAUGCUCGAAAGUGUGGGUAUCAAACAGGAUUAGAUACCCCUGUAGUC
RNAcentral lists this ribosomal RNA (460 nucleotides) under uncultured bacterium. RNAcentral describes it as "partial 16S ribosomal RNA". It matches the Rfam family "Bacterial small subunit ribosomal RNA", at positions 338 to 795 of the family's 1533-position model. The record is from RNAcentral.